Molecule: long non-coding RNA, 778 nt
Filed under: Salmo salar (Atlantic salmon)
Lineage: Eukaryota; Metazoa; Chordata; Actinopteri; Salmoniformes; Salmonidae
Description: lncRNA (ENSSSAG00000091392.1)
Source: RNAcentral
GUGUCCCCAAAACGGUUGAGCACAGUGCAUUGUUCUGAAGAGGAGGGGAUAAACCGUCCUUCAAUGGUUAAUUAAUUCACAGUGCGAACUUGAUGUUCAACAGGCAGUUUGGAAGGUUCUAUAAUAUCUAGAUCUAUAAUGUCUACUGAAGACAACUUGACUUGAUUAGAGACAGCGUUUCAUUUUUGACUUGACUCCACAAGAUAACGAAAACAGGCUUGGCCUACUCUGCUGUCACACAAUUGCUUAUCCUUUUCACAUAUCUUUCUGCCUCUUUACAUUCAUAAGGCCGACUAUUGGUGCUAUCAUUGUCAGUGCACAUACACAAACUUGUGUUUGUGAGUGGCCCUAACAAGAGACAAGGCGCCUAUUGUACAAGACCAGCAGCAGAUUACUAGAAUUCCUUUUCUCUACACUUGCUCAAUGGCUUCUCAGUCUACUCCAUCUGGACUGCCUAAAAACCCACACUGGCAACUUUAAUAUUUGAACGUCUUUGUCAUUCUUCAACUGUUGCUGCUGUUUAACCUUCUCACCACAGUAUGUUGGAGACCUAUAACGAAGAUAUGGACAGUUUGGCUAAAGACAGUUAGACCAUCUCCAUGUUGAGAUGUAUUUCUGUAUUACAGCUGGACAUUGGAGCGGACCCUCUGUGGCCAAAAUAGGGACACAUUGGGACCAAACAGCAUCCCUUUGUGAUCAAAGUGGAGGCGUCCCCCUGCCUAUCUCAGUUGCUCAAUUUACUAUUGUUCUCGUUUUGUUUUAUGUUGUCUUGUCUCGU